GGGGGAGGGUUCCGGGUGAGCCGCGUUGCAGCUUUGCUCUCACUGCGGGGAGCAUAGCAGGCUGCUUGUGGAUUUCCUUCUUCAUGUAUUACAAAUCUGUCCCCGGUCCCUUGGGCCUGGGCACUGAGUUGUCACCGGGGCUACGCACAGACACAGAUACAAGAUAAAGGAUAGGUCCGUCCCGCCAAGAUCAGGGCAGGCGCCCAAGAGGCCUGGAAGCCGGCCUCAGCCCUCCACCGGACUCGCGCUGGGCCCUCGCUCGGGAUAAUCCUGACCAGAGGGUGAAGUUCUGAGAGGAUUGGCAGCAAAUUCCUGAAACUGAGAUGGUCCCCCCACGGGGUGCAGGGACCUCACACAGCUGGAAAGACAAGUCCCUCUGGGUGAACGUCGGGCCUGGUGGCCGGGGUGUCUGGGGAGCCUCGCCAGCAUCUGCUCUAAGGGCCGUGCCCCUCAGAGGCUUGUGCUGGGGCACAAAGGUGAGCGCUCAGGGCUGCUUUGGGGUCAGGCUCUCCCGGGAAGGCCCGACGCCCUCUGCCUUGAGAAGUGCUGACGAGGCCUGCGGGGCUGAUCCUUUUUAACUUUGAGGAACUCAGCAUUUCUCAUUUUCUGGUAAGAAGUGCUGAUAAGGCCUGCAGGGCUGACUCUUUUUAACUUUGAGGAACUUGCGUUUCUGGUUUCUUCCUGAAUGCCACCCAGCAUCUUGUGGAACAGGGGGCCCGGCGCGUCUCCUGGUGUCGCUUUUCCUACCUCCAUGCUGUCCCCUCUCUGGCGGCCUCCUCCUCCGCGUGGCCCACGGUGUCGAAAGGGGAAGAUGCCGCCGGCCCGGAAGCCUCGUCAGCUUGCGGCUGAGCCUGGAGGGGACCCGGCCCAGCGGGGCCAUCCCGAUGUCUGGAGCCAGGAGGCGCGCUCCGUCUGUCAUAUCGACCCAGCUGAAGCUGAGCGUCCAGCCCGCUGUCCUGCCCCCUGCCCCCGGCGCCCCAGCCCCCACACGGCCACUCUCCCCCUCCUCCAAGAAAGGCAGCUGCCGUCCCACCUGCCCUCGGAGGCUUCCCGCCACCUGCGGGCCCCCCCGGGCNNNNNNNNNNNNNNNNNNNNNNNNNNNNNNGGGGGGGGGGAGCCUUCCGGGAUCCAUGAGCGUCACAGCAACACCAUUGGGGGCGACUGGCUGUGAUGCUCUUUUGUACCAAGCCGAGCGAGUGAGCCGGGAUGCCCGGCCCUGCCGCUUACAACUGUGCGGCUGGCGAGUUACCAGCCCCCCGCCCUCGCUUUUCCUCACCUCCAGGGCUGCUGUGAGAUCAGACGGUGCGUUUCUGGGGUUUAUGGCAGGUGUGUGGAGUGGGGGUGGGGCGGGCAGAUCCCGGGCGCUCACUCGCCGACCCCAGGCCUUCCCCAGUCUCCUCUAGCCCUUCGUGCCAGCUUAUGCUUCCGGGGGUGGGGCCCGCGUCCACCCAGGUGUCUGGGGAAGGACCAGCCUUGCUCUGCUGUCCCCUCAGAAUGCCCACCCCAGGACUGUCAUCCAGAAGCUCCUCCGUAAGCAGGAGCUGCCGGGUCUGCGUUUGCCCUGGUGGCCGCCCACCCUGGUCCCUGAGGCCACCUCACCUGACGACUCCAAGAUGCUGGAAGGCCACCCCCACACGGCGCCUGCAGGAGGCGCGGUGGCUCAGUCCAGCCUCCGAGGUGCUCUCAGGAUGCCGGGAUGUGGGGUGACCGAGGACCGGACCCGGGAACCUCGGCUCUCUGCAGGAUGGCGCCGCCAGCCCUGUCCUCAUCUCCUCCUGGUACCACCAGCGGGCAGGGGACCACUGUGUCCUCACUCCUGCCCACGACUCGGUGGUACUCGCUGAAGGCCGUGGCAGAGUCAGGGGUCACUCAGGGCAGAAAGGGCCCCAGCGGGGAGGGGGCCUGAAGUGGGGGGCAGACAGGCGCACCCCGAGGCUGAGUCCUGAGGACACGGAGGGUGGGGACUCGGGAGGGGCUCCGUGGGUGACGACCCGGACAGGGAAGGCCAGGAAUUGCCCAGAAGCAUGUUCUUUAGAAACAGGUGAAGAGUGACCAAAAGAGCGGGUAAGGACCCCAGGACGUGACAGUGGGCUGUCUCUUCCGUGAGCACGUGGGGAAUCCCUUGGCUUUUAAAUCACGAAUUCGCAUCACCUCAAUGCAAAGAAGACCUUAGAGCAGACUCGGUCGCCUUAACUUCUACAAUCAGAGCCAGAGGUUCUGAGACGCUGGGAUUCGGGGACGAGUUACGAGAGGUCCAUCUGGGCUGCUACGUACAGGCUGGCAGGGCCAUCCGUCAAGCCGCUGCAGCAGUGAGAGACUGAGGUCAGUGCACUGUGCUGACGGGAAAGACGGCCGCUGCCCAUCAUUCCACAGCGACGAUAACAGCCAAGCUACCUGGAGCGACCCCUCGCCUCAGCCCGGGCGCCUGGGAAGCUCGGAGGAGGCUCGGGGGGCAGGUGGUGCCCAGUGGCCCCCUCACGGUUGCGUUCCGUUCACGGACGCGCCGUUUCAUCCAGGGCUUACUUUUUAACGACACGUAUGGAUUUCUACGGUAAUCAGAGCAGAGCUCACGCCAUGAAACGUUAUAGAAAUCAAUUCGGAGGAAAGCAAUGUUACCUUUGGGUUUUAAACACAGGCCAUCACAUGAGCCAAGCGACACUCAGGACCGUGGGAGGGACCAGGAGAAGGGGGGCAUCAGCUUGGGGGGCGGGGCCCCCCGACCUCCCGGUUAAGUGCUGAUAAACACACAGCCACCCGGUUACGCUGGAACUUCAGAUGAACCUUGGACCCCUGUUGGGUAGGCGUCUGCCCCAGGAAAUAUCUGGGAGAAGCUCCCGUGAGCCACUCUUUCUAGUUUAUCCGGAAUUCCAGUGCAGCUGGGUCUCCGGUCUUUACUAACUCUGGCAGUCUGAGUGUGGGGGACCUGGGCCCCUUGAGAACGGUGGGCUUUCUCCUGACAAAAAUGCCCAGGCCCCCUUUGCAAACAGUUCCAGGGAAUUUAGGAAACGCUCUGAACAUCCAUCCACGGAUUUAGAACCAGGCUCAGAAAACUUCUACGAAGCCCGGGGGGCAAACGCCCUCAACCAGAGCAGCCUUGGACGAAAUGUGUGCACGAACAGGAGUGGCCGGGCGCCAAUAAAACUUUACGGGAAAUUCAAAUUUCAGCUCCCAUCAAUAAUUUCUGUGAAUCAAGAAAAAUAUUCU
RNAcentral lists this long non-coding RNA (3204 nucleotides) under Sus scrofa (pig). RNAcentral describes it as "lncRNA (ENSSSCG00005023374.1)". Lineage: Eukaryota; Metazoa; Chordata; Mammalia; Artiodactyla; Suidae. The record is from RNAcentral.